Molecule: ribosomal RNA, 193 nt
Filed under: uncultured Pasteurellales bacterium
Lineage: Bacteria; Pseudomonadati; Pseudomonadota; Gammaproteobacteria; Pasteurellales
Description: partial 16S ribosomal RNA
Rfam family: Bacterial small subunit ribosomal RNA
Source: RNAcentral
GGGGAUAACUACGGGAAACUGUAGCUAAUACCGCGUAGUAUCGGAAGAUGAAAGUGUGGGACCGUAAGGCCACAUGCCAUAGGAUGAGCCCAAGUGGGAUUAGGUAGUUGGUGAGGUAAUGGCUCACCAAGCCGACGAUCUCUAGCUGGUCUGAGAGGAUGACCAGCCACACCGGGACUGAGACACGGCCCGG